Molecule: ribosomal RNA, 253 nt
Filed under: uncultured bacterium
Lineage: Bacteria
Description: partial 16S ribosomal RNA
Rfam family: Bacterial small subunit ribosomal RNA
Source: RNAcentral
UACGAAGGGUGCAAGCGUUACUCGGAAUUACUGGGCGUAAAGCGUGCGUAGGCGGUUUGUUAGGUCUGUCGUGAAAGCCCCGGGCUCAACCUGGGAAUGGCGAUGGAUACUGGCGAGCUAGAGUACGGUAGAGGAGAGUGGAAUUCCCGGUGUAGCAGUGAAAUGCGUAGAGAUCGGGAGGAACAUCAGUUGCGAAGGCGGCUCUCUGGACCAGUACUGACGCUGAGGCACGAAAGCGUGGGGAGCAAACAGG